CUAUUACUAUUAUUAUUACAAGUGUAGUAUUUUGUAUUUUUAUACUUUAUGCAUUACUUUCAUAUAAGGUCUCUCAUUUGAGAUAAUUAGCUCCUGGAUGACAAUACAGCUUUUAUCACAGAUGCUAUGUACAAGCAUUUAAUAAGCAUGAUUGCUACUGGAUUUGUUCAAAUGAAAAAGCAGCAUAUUCCCCUUGCUUUGAUGUAAGAUCACAAUGUAUGAAAAGUAAUAUUUUUUACUCAAAUUGUUCCUGACUUUAAGCCAUUUAAAGGUACAAUUUCAUUCAUUUGCCCUUGUGAGGCUUUAUUCCACAAACUGUCUAUUACCCCACUUUAUAAAUGAGGAAGAGAAAUGUGAAAUAAUUUCCCUAAGGUGAAAGGCCAAUCAGCUCUAUAACCACCUUCAUUUGAUGAUGAAAUGUUCGAAAUAUGUUGUUAUCUUCUCGUCUGGCUCUUGAUAAAUCCUGAAAUUUUCAAAUCUAGUUGAGGAGCAUCUGAAUACACAGGAGUGAAAAGCAGGCUAAAAGAGAGUGGUGGUGUGAAGCCUUUGGUAGCGACCCUGCCAUCCAGUCUUGGCCAUUUCUGCCUUUAAUCUUCUCAGUAAUCAGCAAGUGUUAAGUCCAUUUUAAAACUACCCUGUAACCUCCAACCUUAAGAAAAUGAAGAGAAUUUUUUUUAAUGAGAGAUCUUGCAAACACAUUUCACCCAAAGGUUGAGAGUUUUUUUCUUCUCUUGAUCUGGAUAGAGUUAAGUUCUUGCCAGAAGGAAGCAGAGUGGCAUGACCAGUAUGACCUGGGCUCGGAAUGAUCUGGCAGACACCUUGCUUUAGGGAGUAUUUCUAGCGGUGGAUGACUGUUGCUGCAAUUCUUUUACACCCAAACACGCUAGUGACAGUGGUGGUCAGUUUACUCAACAAACAUGUCUAGCUAACUGACAAAUUUUGGUUUUUUCCUGGGGACAAAAUGUUCUAAGAGUCUUAUGGGAAAAGAGGACAGACAUGGAGACCUUAUUAUUUCAUUCUGAUUUACGCUUGUUGCUAUUUAUGAAUGACUUCCAUUUAAUUAGGUGUUUUUUAAAUUUAAAACAGUGUUUGUGACUCUAAUAACUCCCAAAGCACAAACUUGGGACAUUAACUAUUGUGGGGGGUGGGUGUUCAAAAAGUCUUUCAAUCACAAAGCUGUAAUUGAUUGUUUAGCACAUGAAAGAAUUAUUUAUUGUUUUACAGGAUAAUUAUGGAGACAUGAAAAAACAGCUUCCACUGCUAAGUAAAACCCAACUUCCGUUUUUCAGAAUUACAAGUUUUAUUGUAAAAAAUUUUAACCCAAUGGACAUAUUUGCUUUAGAUUUAUGAGUUAAUAUAGUUUCCAAACCUGAAGGCACAAGGGAGGAUAAAAGUAAAUGGAAAGGGACAUUAAGGAGUCAGUGGUCAUAGGAAAGAAAGCACAUUGAACAGUGUCAUCAGUAAAUUGCUAUAACCCCAGGACACUAACACCCUUGAAAAAAGCGCAUGGCAAAUAAUGCUUUUAUGGGUAUACUUAAUAAUUUUCUCCCAUGAUAAAAAUUAAAACCAAAGUGUUUCAUGGAGUCAUUCUGAGAUAAUCUUUGAAAUAUUAUCAAAAAGGAACUGGUCUGUUUUAUACUUCAGGGGAGAAAAUGUUCACAUUUUAGAAUAGCAUUCUGUGAUUAUGUUUAAUGGGAAAAUAAAAUAUAGGUGACUUCUCCAAGAAUCAAUAUCCUCUUUUCUCCAUUCUUGGUGUUUUGCAGGCUGAUUAAUUUGCAGAGGUUGAGUUUGAUUGCCGCUGAAGUAGAAAGCAUUAUAGAUUCUCUGUUAUUCUUCAAGCCACUUGGCUAAAGUCUAUGGUUCUGUCUCUAUGUAUUUAUCUACCUUUCCACAUGGCGCUUAGCACUGGAGCUUUGGGCCUCUCCUAAACAUAUUGUGAAAAUCUAUUGUCCUGAAUUCUCAAGUCUUGCUGUGAAUAGGUAACUACCCCCACCCCCCACCCAAGAUAGCUGUUCUGUGAGGUAAAGGUAAAUGAGCCAGACAGAAACAGGCAUUUAUAAAACAGCUUUGUGUGUCUAUAAAGAAUGUAUCCAGCUAACUUUUGAAAGCAAAAAGGGGAGGCUCUGAAGGUCAUAAAAUUUAUAUAAAUCAUAUAGCAAUUAAAGAAAUAAUGACUGAAAUAAAAUUUGUCCAACA
Molecule: long non-coding RNA, 2196 nt
Organism: Odocoileus virginianus texanus
Lineage: Eukaryota; Metazoa; Chordata; Mammalia; Artiodactyla; Cervidae
Source: RefSeq, a predicted model, not a curated record